RNAcentral lists this ribosomal RNA (301 nucleotides) under uncultured bacterium. Its description in RNAcentral is "partial 16S ribosomal RNA". It matches the Rfam family "Bacterial small subunit ribosomal RNA", at positions 509 to 807 of the family's 1533-position model. The record is from RNAcentral.
CAGUAGCCACGGGAAUACGUAGGGUGCAAGCGUUAAUCGGAAUUACUGGGCGUAAAGCGUGCGCAGGCGGUUUGUUAAGGCAGAUGUGAAAUCCCCGGGCUCAACCUGGGAACUGCAUUUGUGACUGGCAGGCUAGAGUAUGGCAGAGGGGGGUGGAAUUCCGCGUGUAGCAGUGAAAUGCGUAGAUAUGCGGAGGAACACCGAUGGCGAAGGCAGCCCCCUGGGCCAAUACUGACGCUCACGCACGAAAGCGUGGGGAGCAAACAGGAUUAGAUACCCCCGUAGUCCCUGUCUCUUAUAC